UGUCCCAGCCGCCGCGGUAAUACGUAGGUGGCAAGCGUUGUCCGGAAUUAUUGGGCGUAAAGCGCGCGCAGGCGGUCUCUUAAGUCUGAUGUGAAAGCCCACGGCUCAACCGUGGAGGGUCAUUGGAAACUGGGAGACUUGAGUACAGAAGAGGAGAGUGGAAUUCCACGUGUAGCGGUGAAAUGCGUAGAUAUGUGGAGGAACACCAGUGGCGAAGGCGACUCUCUGGUCUGUAACUGACGCUGAGGCGCGAAAGCGUGGGGAGCAAACAGGAUUAGAUACCCUGGUAGUCCACGCCGUAAACGAUGAGUGCUAGGUGUUAGGGGUUUCGAUGCCCUUAGUGCCGAAGUUAACACAUUAAGCACUCCGCCUGGGGAGUACGACCGCAAGGUUGAAACUCAAAGGAAUUGACGGGGGCCCGCACAAGCAGUGGAGCAUGUGGUUUAAUUCGAAGCAACGCGAAGAACCUUACCAGGUCUUGACAUCCUUUGACCACUCUAGAGAUAGAGCUUUCCCCUUCGGGGGACAAAGUGACAGGUGGUGCAUGGUUGUCGUCAGCUCGUGUCGUGAGAUGUUGGGUUAAGUCCCGCAACGAGCGCAACCCUUGAUCUUAGUUGCCAGCAUUCAGUUGGGCACUCUAAGGUGACUGCCGGUGACAAACCGGAGGAAGGUGGGGAUGACGUCAAAUCAUCAUGCCCCUUAUGACCUGGGCUACACACGUGUUACAAUGGAUGGUACAAAGGGCUGCAAAACCGCGAGGUUGAGCGAAUCCCAUAAAGCCAUUCUCAGUUCGGAUUGUAGGCUGCAACUCGCCUACAUGAAGCCGGAAUUGCUAGUAAUCGCGGAUCAGCAUGCCGCGGUGAAUACGUUCCCGGGCCUUGUACACACCGCCCGUCACACCACGAGAGUUUGUAACACCCGAAGUCGGUGAGGUAACCUUUUGGAGCCAGCCGCCUAAGGUGGGACAGAUGAUUGGGGUGAAGUCGUAACAAGGUA
Molecule: ribosomal RNA, 996 nt
Filed under: uncultured Gram-positive bacterium
Lineage: Bacteria
Description: bacterial SSU rRNA
Rfam family: Bacterial small subunit ribosomal RNA
Source: RNAcentral